UAAAAUAAAAAUUAAUGAAUUAGAUUAAUAUAAUUAUUACUAAUAUUAUUAUUUUUAUAAUUAUUUAUUAUUUGAUUAAUUAAGCAUAUUAAUAAUUUUAAAUAAUUUGUUAGCAAUAAAUGAUUAAGGUAUAUUAGCUAAUUUACUUUAAAAAGGAAUUUUUCUGCUUUAGGAUUCUAUUUACUUUGAUUAUGAUAGUUGGUAGUGGUAACAGCCUACCAAGUCUACGAUCAAAAGCCAAGUUUGAUAGAACAUAUGGCCACAUUGGGAGUGAAAAUACCCCAAGUAAUGUAAAAUUACCUGCAGUCAAGAAUAUUAGUCAAUGCUCGCAAGAGUGAACUAGCUAACUGAAAUCUUAAAAUUUAAUUUAAGAUAAGGUAAGAGAAAAUAAUGAUAUUAUCUUACUAUUAGUGUCGUCUAAAUUUGGUGCCAGAAGACUCGGUAAGACCUUAGACGCAAACGUUAAUCGUCAUAAUCAGGCGUAAAGGGUGUGUAGGCGGCUUUAAAAAUAUAAUUAUUAUAUUAUAAUAAUAAAUUCUUAUAGCUAAAGAAAUUAUAUAAAAAUUAAAGCUAGAAUCUAAAAGAGGGUAAGCUAAACAACAUAAUUAAUUGGGACUGACAACUUAUAAUAAUGUGGAGUACUAAAGGUUAAAGCUAUUUAUCUACUUAAGAUUGACGCUCAGAAACGAAGGGGAGAAUAAGAAACUUAGAUUAGAUACCUAAUUAUCUCUCUCAGUCAACGAUGAAUGGUAGUUAUUAAAAAAAAUACAAUAAAAAUAUAUAAUUAUAUUUUAUUAUAUAGAGAUUAGUGACGAGGUUAACACGAUGACCAUUCCGCCUUGUUAGUAAGACUGCAAAGUUGAAAACAAAAAAAUUAGUCGGUCUUGAAGCAAACGAAGUGAAGCAUGUUAUUUAAUACGAUAAUCCGCGUAAAAUCUUACCAGUUCUUGUAUAUUCUUAUUAAUAUUUAUCUAAAUGAAUAAGUUAUUGAAAAGUAAUUUUCCAUCUCUUUUUAAAUUAAGUAAAUUAUUGUAAGAAUACAGGUGUUGCAUGGCUGUCGUCAGUCCGUGUCGUGAGAAGUUUGGUUAAAUCCGUAAACGGACGAAAUCCCUAGUAUUAAUUUAUACAUAAUACAUAAUAGUGUUGAUAAGAUGCUAGUUGGGGCUAAGACAAGUCAUUAUGGCCCUCAUGAACUGGGCUAUAGACGUGCCACAAAAACUUUUACAAAGUGAUGCGAUUCUGUCCCUAAAUAUUUUUUCUAUAAUAUUUAUUUAUCUGGAAACAAUUAAGGAGUAAGGAGGAGCUAAUCAUUAAAGAAAGUUAACUAUUAAAUUAGUUGAAUUGUCAUCUGAAACUCGGUGACAUGAAAAAGGAAUUUCGAGUAAUCGUUGAUCAUUACGCAACGGUGAAUUAAGCAUUCAGGAUGAACUAACCGUCUGUCGCUGGGAAGGAGCUUGAUUUUUAGGAAGAUGUGCAUUGUUCUUAUGUUCUUA
Molecule: ribosomal RNA, 1493 nt
Filed under: Rufoboletus hainanensis
Lineage: Eukaryota; Fungi; Basidiomycota; Agaricomycetes; Boletales; Boletaceae
Description: Butyriboletus hainanensis small subunit ribosomal RNA
Rfam family: Bacterial small subunit ribosomal RNA
Source: RNAcentral